Molecule: ribosomal RNA, 465 nt
Filed under: Vreelandella stevensii
Lineage: Bacteria; Pseudomonadati; Pseudomonadota; Gammaproteobacteria; Oceanospirillales; Halomonadaceae
Description: partial 16S ribosomal RNA
Rfam family: Bacterial small subunit ribosomal RNA
Source: RNAcentral
ACUACGGGUGGCUGCAGUGGGGAAUAUUGGACAAUGGGCGAAAGCCUGAUCCAGCCAUGCCGCGUGUGUGAAGAAGGCCUUCGGGUUGUAAAGCACUUUCAGUGGGGAAGAAAGCCUUGGGGCUAAUACCCUCGAGGAAGGACAUCACCCACAGAAGAAGCACCGGCUAACUCCGUGCCAGCAGCCGCGGUAAUACGGAGGGUGCGAGCGUUAAUCGGAAUUACUGGGCGUAAAGCGCGCGUAGGCGGUCUGAUAAGCCGGUUGUGAAAGCCCCGGGCUCAACCUUGGAACGGCAUCCGGAACUGUCAGGCUAGAGUGCAGGAGAGGAAGGUAGAAUUCCCGGUGUAGCGGUGAAAUGCGUAGAGAUCGGGAGGAAUACCAGUGGCGAAGGCGGCCUUCUGGACUGACACUGACGCUGAGGUGCGAAAGCGUGGGUAGCAAACAGGAUUAGAUACCCGGGUAGUC